ACUUUUAGAUUGCGCAGGCAAGGGACCGAGGCAUAAGGGAAGCAAUAAGAGAAAACAUAAAGACCUACCGGCCUGUGAGAAUCUGGGAAGGUGGCCCUAGGGGCCUACAGUGAGAGGUCGAACCGCCUCCCUUCAAAUUCCAACAAGGAUGCAAAUUCCAUGCAUAAGGAUUAGACUGUCUUUGUGGUUCGAAUCUGAACCAUCCCGAACACAAGUCAUGAUUUGAAUACUUGGUCCCCAGCUUGUGGUGUGAAUUUGGGGGGUGGAAAAGCCUUGAGAGAUGCCACCUAGAGAAAAUGGGCCACUAGGAGUUUAGGCCUUUGGAGGUUAUAGCCCUCGCUGAAGUUUCCACCAUAGUCGGCGCUUCCUGAUCCACGACGGUGCAAACAACCUUCACCACACACUCCCGCCUGGGCGGACCAUCUCCUAAAGGCUCAGCUUUUUGGUAAUAACGCCUUGGUGAUUAGCUUUCGAUGUGUGCAUUCCUGAGGGAAUGAAACAGAUCUGGAAAGGAGUGCUCCUGCCCAGGGAACUGCCGCUCCUGGUUGCCAUGGAAAUAGCCGCCAACGACACUUCCGGAAAUCAGUGCUAAGAUUGGAAACGGUCCCUCUUAAUUGCGGUGGCAACUUAGUAACAGACUCUUAGUACUUCCCCUCUCCCCACCCCUUUCCUUCUUCCAGUGUAGGGGUGAGCUCUCUAGAGCCUGAGGAAGAAGUCACUGGAUUGUACCACACGGGGUUGGGGGGGAGGAGAAUCUAUCCACAUACCUCAGGCUUCACACGCAUGACCUUUUCUUCCCUUCUUCAAAGGACACUAACCCUAUGAUAAAGCCCUUAUCCUGCGUGCCACUUCUCAAAGGCUCCAUCCCUGAACACCCCCACACCAGGCCUAUGAAUAUAGAAGGUACAGAAAUAAUUUAGUUCAUGGCAUUUAGAAAAGACUUUUCAGUCAGGUUCAUCAUCGUAAGCUAAGAUAUUAUUAGUCUGAUUUUGGGAGUGGGGGU
RNAcentral lists this long non-coding RNA (1003 nucleotides) under Rattus norvegicus (Norway rat). Its description in RNAcentral is "long non-coding RNA NONRATT033292". The record is from RNAcentral. Lineage: Eukaryota; Metazoa; Chordata; Mammalia; Rodentia; Muridae.